RNAcentral lists this ribosomal RNA (253 nucleotides) under uncultured bacterium. Its description in RNAcentral is "partial 16S ribosomal RNA". It matches the Rfam family "Bacterial small subunit ribosomal RNA", at positions 524 to 776 of the family's 1533-position model. The record is from RNAcentral.
UACGGGGGGGGCAAGCGUUGUUCGGAAUUACUGGGCGUAAAGGGCUCGUAGGUGGCCAACUAAGUCAUACGUGAAAUCCCUCAGCUUAACUGGGGAACUGCGUCUGAUACUGGAUGGCUUGAGUUUGGGAGAGGGAUGCGGAAUUCCAGGUGUAGCGGUGAAAUGCGUAGAUAUCUGGAGGAACACCGGUGGCGAAGGCGGGUCUCUGGGCAACAACUGACGCUGAGGAGCGAAAGCGUGGGGAGCGAACAGG